AUUGAACGCUGGCGGCAUGCUUUACACAUGCAAGUCGAACGGUAGCAGGCCUUCGGGUGCUGACGAGUGGCGAACGGGUGAGUAAUGCAUCGGAACGUACCCAGAGGUGGGGGAUAACGCAGCGAAAGCUGUGCUAAUACCGCAUGUGAUCUGAGGAUGAAAGCGGGGGACCGAGCAGCAAUGUUUGGCCUCGCGCCUUUGGAGCGGCCGAUGUCGGAUUAGCUAGUUGGUGGGGUAAAGGCCUACCAAGGCGACGAUCCGUAGCUGGUCUGAGAGGACGACCAGCCACACUGGGACUGAGACACGGCCCAGACUCCUACGGGAGGCAGCAGUGGGGAAUUUUGGACAAUGGGCGCAAGCCUGAUCCAGCAAUGCCGCGUGCGGGAAGAAGGCCUUCGGGUUGUAAACCGCUUUUGGCAGGAACGAAACGGUGUCCGCUAAUACCGGGCGCUAAUGACGGUACCUGCAGAAUAAGCACCGGCUAACUACGU
Molecule: ribosomal RNA, 491 nt
Filed under: uncultured bacterium
Lineage: Bacteria
Description: partial 16S ribosomal RNA
Rfam family: Bacterial small subunit ribosomal RNA
Source: RNAcentral